RNAcentral lists this unclassified non-coding RNA (420 nucleotides) under Capsella bursa-pastoris (shepherd's purse). RNAcentral's name for it is "partial external transcribed spacer; ETS". Lineage: Eukaryota; Viridiplantae; Streptophyta; Magnoliopsida; Brassicales; Brassicaceae. The record is from RNAcentral. RNAcentral also lists the same sequence under 1 other name.
UGCUCGCGCAUCGAACUACUUACCACCUAUCCUUCUCAGCUGCUUCACGGGCGAUAAUACGCUCGAUGAUCAGAUAUGGGGUCUGUGUUGCGUACCUAACUAGAAGGUAUUGUCGAGUUUGGUUUCCACCCAUGUCCGCGGCAUUUCCUUUCGGGAGAUGUCGUGGUCACGAAAAUCGGCGCAUGUUUCCCUUUCGACGUUGCAUCAUUUGCCUCGUUCGUACUGGAGAACAAGCUGCUGGUUGAAAUCUCGGAUUCGGAAAAGUUAUCGACGGUGACUCGAAGUGAUUCAGUCCCGCCAUAGCACAUCUGUCCCUCGGACAAAAGAUGAUGGUCGAGACCUCGUCCGUUCUUUCUUUCCUUAGCGUUAGUUUGAACGUGCCGGGGAAUCGCCGUGAUCGAUGAAUGCUACCUGGUUGAU